Molecule: ribosomal RNA, 460 nt
Filed under: uncultured bacterium
Lineage: Bacteria
Description: partial 16S ribosomal RNA
Rfam family: Bacterial small subunit ribosomal RNA
Source: RNAcentral
CCUACGGGAGGCUGCAGUGAGGAAUAUUGGUCAAUGGACGAGAGUCUGAACCAGCCAAGUAGCGUGAAGGAUGACUGCCCUAUGGGUUGUAAACUUCUUUUAUAUGGGAAUAAAACGUUCCACGUGUGGGAUUUUGUAUGUACCAUAUGAAUAAGGAUCGGCUAACUCCAUGCCAGCAGCCGCGGUAAUACGGAGGAUCCGAGCGUUAUCCGGAUUUAUUGGGUUUAAAGGGAGCGUAGGUGGAUUGUUAAGUCAGUUGUGAAAGUUUGCGGCUCAACCGUAAAAUUGCAGUUGAAACUGGCAGUCUUGAGUACAGUAGAGGUGGGCGGAAUUCGUGGUGUAGCGGUGAAAUGCUUAGAUAUCACGAAGAACUCCGAUUGCGAAGGCAGUUCACUGGACUGCAACUGACACUGAGGCUCGAAAGUGUGGGUAUCAAACAGGAUUAGAUACCCUAGUAGUC